This 236-nucleotide ribosomal RNA is filed under the name Glomeromycotina sp. RNAcentral describes it as "partial small subunit ribosomal RNA". The stretch from base 40 to 236 matches the Rfam family "Eukaryotic small subunit ribosomal RNA", at positions 686 to 886 of the family's 1831-position model. Lineage: Eukaryota; Fungi; Glomeromycota. The record is from RNAcentral.
GGGUCAGUAGGUUGGUCGUGCCACCGGUACGUACUGGUCUCACUGAUUCCUCCUUCCUGAAGAACCGUAAUGCCAUUAAUUUGGUGUUGCGGGGAAACAGGACUGUUACUUUGAAAAAAUUAGAGUGUUUAAAGCAAGCUAACGCUUGAAUACAUUAGCAUGGAAUAAUGAAAUAGGACGAUCGAUCCUAUUUUGUUGGUUUCUAGGAUUGACGUAAUGAUUAAGGGAUAGUUGGG